This 85-nucleotide transfer RNA is filed under the name Felis catus (domestic cat). It matches the Rfam family "tRNA". Rfam says of the family: Transfer RNA (tRNA) molecules are approximately 80 nucleotides in length. Their secondary structure includes four short double-helical elements and three loops (D, anti-codon, and T loops). The record is from Rfam by way of RNAcentral. Lineage: Eukaryota; Metazoa; Chordata; Mammalia; Carnivora; Felidae.
GCCUGGGUGGCUAAGUCGGUUAAGCGCCCGACUUUGGCUUAGGUCAUGAUCUCACGGUUUGUGGGUUCGAACCCUGCUUUGGGCU